GACGAACGCUGGCGGCGUGCUUAACACAUGCCAGUCGAACGGUGAAGCGCCUUCCUUUUUGGUGGGUGUGGAUGAGUGGCGAACGGGUGAGUAACACGUGAGUAACCUGCCCCCUUCUUCUGGAUAACCGCAUGAAAGUGUGGCUAAUACGGGAUAUUCUGGGUCUGUCGCAUGAUGGGUCUGGGAAAGAUAUUGUUUCGGUGGGGGAUGGGCUCGCGGCCUAUCAGCUUGUUGGUGGGGUGAUGGCCUACCAAGGCGGUGACGGGUAGCCGGCCUGAGAGGGUGGACGGUCACACUGGGACUGAGACACGGCCCAGACUCCUACGGGAGGCAGCAGUGGGGAAUAUUGCACAAUGGGCGCAAGCCUGAUGCAGCGACGCCGCGUGAGGGAUGGAGGCCUGCGGGUUGUGAACCUCUUUCGCCAGUGAAGCAGGCCUGCCUCGUUUGUGGGUGGGUUGACGGUAGCUGGAUAGGAAGCGCCGGCUAACUACGUG
This 494-nucleotide ribosomal RNA is filed under the name uncultured bacterium. RNAcentral's name for it is "partial 16S ribosomal RNA". It matches the Rfam family "Bacterial small subunit ribosomal RNA", at positions 28 to 507 of the family's 1533-position model. The record is from RNAcentral.